CAACUUACACGUCUUAACUUUAAAAAUUGUGGCUUUAUUGUUUAUUGAUAACAUUUUUGAAUAAUCUAUGAGUUAAGUCCAUAACUCAACUUAUUUAAAUGGUAACUCACGUUACCAAUCAAAGUCAAUACAAAUAUCACUUUCUAGAAACAUUAACAAAUUGACAAAACUAAGUUGAACAAUGGCUUAUUAGCUUAUUUAGUCUGAAGGCCCUCAACUAAUCUCUGACGGCAGAUAAUUAAUUGUUAAUUUCUAUAAAUAACUUGUAUUGGACUUAUGCUUGCAAGUUGCAGCCGAAGUACGUAUAACUUAUGCUUGCAAGUUGCAACUUUGAACAACCGGUUCACGAAUCUCAAAUAUCAUUUGAGCACCACAUAAAAUAAUGUUUUAUUUUAUUUUAUAUUUAAACUCAGCGAAUUUGGAGGUUCGUAUUGUACGUACUUCUUGUUACCGCAACUAAAAGAUUCGGAGUUGAGAUCCACACAAAUUACUCGGAGGUCGGAACUCGUGAUCAUGUUGUCGAUACCAUUAAAUGGUAACCCUGUACAUAAGUGGAAAUGAUAAGGGUAGUUAGGUCAUUACAAAAAGAUGUAAGCAUGAGAUGAGGCCGGAUCUCCUACAAGUUGGAAAGAAGAUAUUUCACUAUUUUGUCUUUUGCUCUAAAAUGAUGAAAAGAUGGCCCAGCACUUUGAUGGACACAAAUGGAAAAAGUUGACCAGAUGACAAAUUUCAUGGUGAUUUCACAUUAUUAUUAGGUAACCGAACAAACAACUUUUGGAGAUACGUACCUUGCUGCCACACCACAUGAUUCACUUAUUACGUACUAUAUCAAUAAAAAAAGAUAAAGAUUCGUAUAAAGAGAUCACAAUUUACUUGGAGACCGUGAUCUCGUUGUCCGUAUCAUAAAUGGCAACUCCGUACAGACACGAUACAGUUAGGGUUAAUUUAGGUGUUUCAUACCAGUUAGCUAGAGAGAAGAGAUUUUUCCAAGUUUUUGAGGCUGUAAGAGCAUUCCCAUCAGUGAUAUUGGUUGGAUGUCUUUCAAUUUUUUAACAAUAAAAAAAAAAUGUUUUAAUCGUUUAGUUUCAGAGAUACAUGUUUCUGCGCAGAACAUUUAAGAUACUUGGAGACCCACUACGUGUCAAACGUUUAGUUGUGUUUGUUUUGUUUUUGUUUUUUUUUUCCUCUUUUCUUCGAUCGGUUAUCUGUCUCUCUUUGGAAGCAAACGGAACGACGAAAGCUUGAAUCGAUUUUUCAUAAUCGAGUAGAUAUAACCCAAUCGCAGUUCUCAUCGGAUUGCAGAUAAAAUUGGAUCUCUCCGUCUUCUUCUUCUCCGAUUCCGCUUACUUCUUCUAUGUUAGAUGGUCAGCGAGAUAUGUAAAAUCACUUGCAGUGGGAGAAUAGGAGGCUAGGAUCUCAAGUUUCAACGCACUGGGACUGAAGCCAUUGUCAUGGGUAUUGUAGUCCAAGGUUUGUUAUUCCUCAGACUUGUAUAUACUUUAGCUUUGUGUCUAGUUUAGAUUGAGGUGUCUACUUCAGCUUCAGCUUUGAUUCUCUUCUUACGAUUCUUAAACAUUAUAGCUGUUUAUUCAGUUCUGGAUUGAAACAUAUUGCUUGGUAGAACAGAAUUUGGGAAUUAAAUAGUCAAAACUAUAAACAAGAACAUAAAGUCUUAAAUUGUGUUUUGUUCACGUUUUGCUUGUAGUUGUUGGCCUGAUAAUAUUGCGGUUACGUUGUAAGUCUUGAUUUGGUUAUGUUGUAAGUCUUUUAUUGCCUCUUGUUUAGGUUACAUUCUAAGUCUUGUUUUGGUUAUUGUCAAACACAGUCUUGAUUUGCCUCUUGUUUUGGUUAUGUUGUAAGUCUUGUUUUAAGUCUUGUUUGGUUCUUGACAUUGAUAGCUUGUUGCUUGGCUAAUUUGUUUCCUUCUCUCCCACUUGUUGGUGAAUGUACUUUUCUUCUGUUUUGCUAAUUUGUUUUCUUCUCCCCCACUUGUUGUUGAAUCGGUCCUCUAUAUAUAGUGAAGAGAAUCGGCAGCUCUUUUUUGUAUAAACUCUCAUAUUCACUCUUAUUUGUCCUUUAAUUUUCAUAUAAACUCUCCCCACAAUUCUAUCUUAAAUAGCUAUACUAUUUCUUUUUCAUCAAAUAUCUUCUCAUACCAAUUAAAUAUUUCUACGGAGAUGUCAUCUCCAGAUUUAGAUGAUGAGUUUCAUGAAGUUUUUGAUGAACAUUUUGAUAUUCUAUUUCAAAAUUGCCUAGAUGAUUAUGGCAAUGAUCAAGAGGCAACUAGCUCAAGGCCGCCAAGAGCUUAUAUUGAAAAAGGACGCGAGGAAGGGCACACUCUUUUUUGGAAUGAUUAUUUCAUCGAAAAUUCUAGUUACUCUCACGCUAGUUUCCGUCGUCGUUUUCGAAUGAACAAGUCAUUGUUCAUACGUAUUGUUGAUGCACUAUCCAAUGAAGUACCAUAUUUCCAACAAAGAAGAUAUGCUACGGGAAGGUUGGGUCUGUCUGCAUUAUAAAAGUGUACAACAUCCAUUCGUAUUUUGGCAUAUGGCUGUGCAGCUGAUGCGGUGGAUAAAUACCUCCGCCUCGCAGGUAGUACCGCAAUGCUAUGCUUGGAAAAUUUUGUGGAGGGAAUUAUAUAUUUGUUUCAGGAUACGUACCUCAGAAAACCUACGUCAGAGGAUCUCCAACGAUUACUCAAUCAAGGAGAGACACGCGGAUUUUCCGGGAUGAUAGGAAGCAUUGAUUAUGCAUUGGGAAUGGAAGAAUUGCCCAACAGCUUGGAAAAGACAGUAUUCUUGUGGAUCUUGAAAACCUACAAUCGUUUUAGAGGCUAUGGCUUCCCAAGAUCUCUGGAUUUGGCAUGCAUUUUGUGGACCUCCAGGUACUUUAAAUGAUAUCAAUGUUCUUGACCGUUCACCAGUUUUUGAUGACAUAAUAGAAGGUCGAGCUCCGAGAGUAGAUUACUUUGUCAAUGGUCGACAUUACAAACAGACUUACUACCUCACUGAUGGUAUAUAUCCGAGAUGGGCAACAUUCAUCCAAUCAAUUUCACUUCCACAAGACCCGAAAGCAUCAUUAUUUGCUCAAUGUCAAGAAGCUUGCCGAAAAGAUAUUGAACGUGCUUUCGGGGUCUUGCAAGCUCGAUUUGCAAUUGUUAAAAAUCCCACACUUUUUUGGAUAAGGCAAAAAUAGUAAAGAUAAUGAGAGCAUGUAUCAUAUUGCACAAUAUGAUUGUAGAAGAUGAACGAGAUGGCUACAGUCUGUACAAUGUAGCAGAAUUCUAUCGAGGAGAAAGAAGCGGGACUUCACAUGUCGAUUUAGCAUAUUCUACCGAAAGGAUUACUGAUUUGAACAAUGUGAUGAACAAUUGGAAUCAAGUUCGUGAUACAGUGAUACGUCGAUAGUUGAAAGCUGAUUUGGUUGAACAUAUUUGGCAAAAUUUUGACACAACUCAAGAUUAAACCGAUGUUAAUUAAGUUAUUGAUAAUGCUUUUAUAUAUGUUUUAAAGUUUUAAUA
Non-coding RNA from Camelina sativa (false flax), 3520 nucleotides. NCBI's taxonomy places the organism in Eukaryota, Viridiplantae, Streptophyta, Magnoliopsida, Brassicales, Brassicaceae. The record is from RefSeq and is a predicted model, not a curated record.